This 280-nucleotide unclassified non-coding RNA is filed under the name fungal sp. RNAcentral describes it as "partial internal transcribed spacer region". The stretch from base 1 to 46 matches the Rfam family "Eukaryotic small subunit ribosomal RNA", at positions 1786 to 1831 of the family's 1831-position model. The record is from RNAcentral. Lineage: Eukaryota; Fungi.
AAGUCGUAACAAGGUUUCCGUAGGUGAACCUGCGGAAGGAUCAUUAACACGUAUCCAAAACUACGUUUAAACUCAAAAUUUAAUUCGUGAAAACUGGAAAAAAAAUUAACUUUUUUUUUCCUUAUCCCUCCCUAUUUAUAUUUUUUUACUUCUCUUUUUUUAAUUCGUAAUGAACUGAAAAAAACAAAAAAUGAAAGAAACCUAUUGAGGUGAUUCUCACAGUUUCUUGACUUUUUUACGAAAUGCUGAACAACUCUUAACAACGGAUAUCUUGGUUCUC